CCUGGCUCAGAUUGAACGCUGGCGGCAGGCUUAACACAUGCAAGUCGAGCGGGGGAAGGUAGCUUGCUACUGGACCUAGCGGCGGACGGGUGAGUAAUGCUUAGGAAUCUGCCUAUUAGUGGGGGACAACAUCUCGAAAGGGAUGCUAAUACCGCAUACGUCCUACGGGAGAAAGCAGGGGAUCUUCGGACCUUGCGCUAAUAGAUGAGCCUAAGUCGGAUUAGCUAGUUGGUGGGGUAAAGGCCUACCAAGGCGACGAUCUGUAGCGGGUCUGAGAGGAUGAUCCGCCACACUGGGACUGAGACACGGCCCAGACUCCUACGGGAGGCAGCAGUGGGGAAUAUUGGACAAUGGGGGGAACCCUGAUCCAGCCAUGCCGCGUGUGUGAAGAAGGCCUUAUGGUUGUAAAGCACUUUAAGCGAGGAGGAGGCUACUUUAGUUAAUACCUAGAGAUAGUGGACGUUACUCGCAGAAUAAGCACCGGCUAACUCUGUGCCAGCAGCCGCGGUAAUACAGAGGGUGCGAGCGUUAAUCGGAUUUACUGGGCGUAAAGCGUGCGUAGGCGGCUUAUUAAGUCGGAUGUGAAAUCCCCGAGCUUAACUUGGGAAUUGCAUUCGAUACUGGUGAGCUAGAGUAUGGGAGAGGAUGGUAGAAUUCCAGGUGUAGCGGUGAAAUGCGUAGAGAUCUGGAGGAAUACCGAUGGCGAAGGCAGCCAUCUGGCCUAAUACUGACGCUGAGGUACGAAAGCAUGGGGAGCAAACAGGAUUAGAUACCCUGGUAGUCCAUGCCGUAAACGAUGUCUACUAGCCGUUGGGGCCUUUGAGGCUUUAGUGGCGCAGCUAACGCGAUAAGUAGACCGCCUGGGGAGUACGGUCGCAAGACUAAAACUCAAAUGAAUUGACGGGGGCCCGCACAAGCGGUGGAGCAUGUGGUUUAAUUCGAUGCAACGCGAAGAACCUUACCUGGCCUUGACAUACUAGAAACUUUCCAGAGAUGGAUUGGUGCCUUCGGGAAUCUAGAUACAGGUGCUGCAUGGC
This 1037-nucleotide ribosomal RNA is filed under the name Acinetobacter baumannii. Its description in RNAcentral is "bacterial SSU rRNA". It matches the Rfam family "Bacterial small subunit ribosomal RNA", at positions 18 to 1049 of the family's 1533-position model. Lineage: Bacteria; Pseudomonadati; Pseudomonadota; Gammaproteobacteria; Moraxellales; Moraxellaceae. The record is from RNAcentral.